Molecule: long non-coding RNA, 3436 nt
Organism: Helianthus annuus (common sunflower)
Lineage: Eukaryota; Viridiplantae; Streptophyta; Magnoliopsida; Asterales; Asteraceae
Exons: 2
Source: RefSeq, a predicted model, not a curated record
UGUCUUCUUCUCACUCCUUAUUCUACAAGCAGAUUACCGUACUCUCCUCAAAACUGUUUCCGAUUUCGAGCUUUCACCACACCAACACUGCCAUUCGAUCUUCGAUCUUCUGUGAAUUCAUUUAGCUUCUAUUGAUUAUUUCGAUAACUGCUCUAUAGGUCGUGCAGGAAAACCAGAUUUGCAGGUUACGAAUUUGGGGUUCCAAAGUCCAAACAGUUUACGACUUCAAUUUUUGGGUCCUUUCACUGCCGAUUGUAUGCUUUAUUGACGUUUCCCCCCGUGAAUGGAUGAAGUUUUAGAAUCGGAAGACUUUGAUUAUGUCAUCAACGAAGGGGGCAUCAUGACCGAGGUUUUGGAUCCAAAGGACCAAGGCUGCAACCUCGUCAUAGCAUUGGCUGAUAUAGUUUCCAUGGUUAUGAGGAUAUCAAAGAAAGAUCUGCAUGCUCUUGUUUCAGCACAACCAUUGGUUGAUAGUAAUUCCACAACCCCUACAAAAAUGAGAUGCUUUUCUGUGGAUUUCGGACUUGAAAGUGAAGAAACAUACUCGUUAACACCGGUUAAGAGAGACCGGGACUAGAGUCUCUAUUUAAUUAGGAGAGACAAACGAUAAACUCCAUGAUUUGAUGUAUUAUGAUAGUCCAGAUGACAUAAGGAAGCAAAUAAUGAUGAAUUUUGGAAAGAGGGGGGUAAGCAAUACCCAAUUUUAGGAGCUUUGAACUUCAAUAGUUUUAACGCAAAAAAAGAAAAACACAUGAUUUGGUUCCACGCAAGUUAGGCUUUAGCCUAUCUAAAAAUCCUAAAAGAAAAGGUAAAGGGCUUAAAAGGAAAGUCGUAGAAGAAGAAGACCAGGAACAUGCUUUAUUAAUCUAUAGAUGCAACACAACGAAUACAUACAAAGAUAAGCACUAUUCCUAUGUUAAAAACUCACAUGACAAGACAUGGGUGUUAAUGGAUGUUCCUUGGUGUGCAUAAAGGCUUUUAACUACAUCUUGGUCCCGAUAUCAUGUUCUAGCAACUACUAAGGUUUAUGUGGCAUUACCGGUAAGUUGCAAACUCUUAAUCGUGUAGUUUGAUCUUUCUUUCUUGCUAAUCUUUAUUUUCAAAUCCAUGCAUCAUUUGUAGUCUAAAACAGUUAACGACGAGUCUAUGUUGUAAAAAACGAGCUAGGGCGCUCAGGCACAGCGAGGCGCCCCUAAAGUAGUACGAUCUUUUAAAACCUUUUUAUCAUCAAUGCCCCAUGAAAGGCAUUGAGGAUUGAUUUUUUUUUUGUUCAUCUUUGAAGAAUAUGUUUGGAUCUCCCUCACCUAAACCAGGCGCUUUAGGUGCGCCUCGCUGCGCCUGAGCGUCUAGGCGCACGCCUAGCUCGCUUUUCACUACAUAGACUCGGCGUUAACUGUUUUAAACUACAAAUGAUGCAUGCAUUUGAAAAUAAAGAUUAGUAAAAAAGAAAAAUCAAACUACACGUUUAAAAGUUCGCAACAUACCGUUAAUGCCACAUACACCUUAGUAGUUGCUAGAACAUGAUAUAUCGGGACCAUGAUGUAGUUAAAAGCAUUUAUGCACACCAAGGAACAUCCAUUAACACCCCAUGUCUUGUCAUGUGAGUUUGUAACAUAGCAAUAGUGCUUAUCUUUUUGUAUGUAUUCGUUGUGUUGCAUCCAUAGAUUAAUAGAGCAUGUUCCUGGUCUUCUUCUUCUACGACUUUUCUUUUAAGCCCUUUACCUUUUCUUUUAUGGAUUUUAGGUAGGCUGAAGCCUAACUUGCGUGGAACCAGAUCAAGUGCUUUUUUUGCGUUAAAACCGUUGAAGUUCAUUGCUCCCAAAAUUGGGUAUUGCUUACCCCUCUUUCAAAAAUUCAUCAUUAUUUGCUUCCUUAUGUCAUCUGGACUAUCAUAAUACAUCAAAUCAUGGAGUUUAUCGUUUGUCUCUCCUAAUUAAAUAGAGACUCUCAUCCCAGUCUCUCUUAACCCGUGUUAACGAGUAUGUUUCUUCACUUUCAAGUCCGAAAUUCACAGAAAAGCAUCUCAUUUUUGCAAGGGUCGUAGAAUUACCAUCAACCAAUGGUUGUGCUGAAACAAGAGCAUGUAUAUCUUUCUUUGAUAUCCUCAUAACCAUGGAAACUAUAUCAGCCAAUACUAUGGCGAGGCAGCGGCUAUGGUCCUUUUGAUCCAUAACCUCGGUCAUGAGCUAGAUCGGGUCGAGACGUUUCGGGACGUUAAUGGGUUAGGUCAAUUCGGUAUGUUUCAAGCCGAAUCGAGACAUUUCGGCCUUUAACGGGGUCCAGACGUUUUGAGUCGUUAACAGCCCAGACCGUUAAUGGGUCGGGUUGAGACGUUUCGGAUCGUUAACGUGUCGGGUCUAGACAUGUCUGGUCGAUGCUAGGUUGAUCGAAUUUUUGCGAGUAGGCGUCGGGUCGUGUCGAGGAGUUGCAUGUUGGCUAGACAGUACAACGGUUUGUUCUUUCUUUAACUUUUUUUUUAUUCAACACUAGCCAUGUGUCAGCCUCUUAUAUAUCUAUGCAUAUUUACAUUUAGUAUUUAUAUAUCCACGUGUCAACCCAUGCCCCAUGGUCUUAUAAAGGAAAGUGCUCAGGCUCUGGAACGGGUCUCUACAAAUCUUGAACGAAAUCAGGUGAAGUAUCUAGUAUUUAUUCAGCCACUUAUUAUGUUUCAAAAGAUUCUUCUAAUCCUGCAUAGAGGUGGCAAAAUGGACGGGUCAAAGGGGUAAUUCUUUGGUAUGGGUUGGGACUUGGGUCGAACAAAAACAUUUUUUUGUGUGGUUUUUUCAUAUAUAACUAGAGUCUAAUAUGAUUAUGAAGAAAAUAUUAAUAUUAGAAUAUUAGAAUAUUCUGAAUAAAAGGAUUCAAGAUGCGUUAAUGAUGUGUCUAAUCCAUUACAAUAACGUUGAUUCGUUAUUUGUCUAAUCCACACAUGUACAUACCAGCACACCUAACUUCACAUAUUUGAUUCGUUGUUGAGCGAGUUUUUACGCAAAGGUAUAUAAAAGCGUGUCUAAUCUGUAACACAAUGAUGCAUUUAAGUUCACAUAUUUGAUUUUUUUUUUACUUUUAACAAAUGAUGAGUGUAAAUACACAUGUAUAUAAUGAUGUGUGUAAUCCAUUACAAUAACGUAACUGACUACGCGUAUUUGAUGCACGGAUUCUGUCACUCUAUCAAUCCAUGUUACAGGCUUUAAUUAAAAGACCAAGAAUCAAACGACAUAUCAGGAUAACUGUGGUUUACGUGUUUAUUCUUUGUAUCGGUCUAAGAGUAUGGCCCAAAAGUCUUACCGGAAUUGAAAAGUAUGAACCAAAAGUCUUAUUAUUUGACAAAAACCUAAUUUUUGUUUUCUUUUUCUUUUUGGUCGUUACCUUUUUAAAUGUAAACACUUAUCGGUCCCACAAGACAAGUUAUGAUAGAUGAUGAGGUUUUGAGUUU